RNAcentral lists this ribosomal RNA (520 nucleotides) under uncultured Glomus. RNAcentral's name for it is "SSU rRNA". It matches the Rfam family "Eukaryotic small subunit ribosomal RNA", at positions 569 to 1091 of the family's 1831-position model. Lineage: Eukaryota; Fungi; Glomeromycota; Glomeromycetes; Glomerales; Glomeraceae. The record is from RNAcentral.
AGCAGCCGCGGUAAUUCCAGCUCCAAUAGCGUAUAUUAAAGUUGUUGCAGUUAAAAAGCUCGUAGUUGAAUUUCGGGAUUAGUGCGCUGGUCAUGCCUUUGGUAUGUACUGGUGUUACUGGUUUCUACCUUCUGAAGAACCGUUAUGUCAUUUAUUUGGUGUGGCGGGGAAUCAGGACUGUUACUUUGAAAAAAUUAGAGUGUUUAAAGCAGGCUCGCGCUUGAAUACAUUAGCAUGGAAUAAUGAAAUAGGACGUUUGACCCUAUUUUGUUGGUUUCUAGGAUCGACGUAAUGAUUAAUAGGGGUAGUUGGGGGCAUUAGUAUUCAAUUGUCAGAGGUGAAAUUCUUGGAUUUAUUGAAGACUAACUACUGCGAAAGCAUUUGCCAAGGAUGUUUUCAUUAAUCAAGAACGAAAGUUAGGGGGAUCGAAGACGAUCAGAUACCGUCGUAGUCUUAACCAUAAACUAUGCCGACUAGGGAUCGGAUGAUGUUAUUUUUAAUGACUCAUUCGGCGCCUUAC